AAAUCCUAGGGUUUAAUUCGGGCAUAGGGUUUAUAGGUUUAGGGUUCUUGGCAGCUAUGGCGAAGGCGGCGAAGGCCGCCGCCAAGGAAUUCGCGGCGCACAUCCGGCUGACAGUGAAUGCGGGGCAGGCGAAGCCGGGGCCUCCCGUCGGGCCGGCGCUGGGGCAGCAUCGGCUGAACAUCAUGGCGUUUUGCAAGGAUUUCAAUGCGCGGACGCAGCACAUCCGGGCCGACGUCCCCAUGUCGGUGCUCAUCACCGCGUACAAGGAUAGUACGUUUGAUUUCGUGCUCAAGUCGCCCAAGACGAGCUACUUCUUGAAGAAGGCCGCGGGGCUGGAGAUUGGGGCUCACAAGCCGGGGCACGAAUCGGUGGGGACUGUCACCUACAAGCACAUCUACGAGAUCGCCAAGAUCAAGAAGACGGAUGCCAACUGCAAGGACAAGCCGCUGGAGGGGAUUUGCCGGUCGAUCAUGGGGACUGCCAGAUCCAUGGGAGUAGCAGUGAAGCACGAAGUAGACAAGUGAUGGGAAAGUUUGAUCUUUUCCUCGUCCUCGCUCUCUAACCUGAGGAUUGUUUCUUUGUUUCUUCUGCGUGAGCGUUCUUGACUGAAGGAACGCAAAGGUGAUACGGUAUUUUUCUCCUUGUCUUUCAUCAAGGAUUUGUAAAAAUUUAAUGUCUUUGAGGAUGGAAACACAUCAUAAGCUUGACGAGUUGGAAGCGUGCAAGAAAGUGCUGUAAUACCAGAUGGACAGUGUGUGACAAUAUGUUAUUGUCGUGAUAACAAAAGCACACAGAAGUAAAAUAUCGCGGGCCAAAGAUUAAAACUGCUUCCGUGGCUGUUUUGUCGA
Molecule: RNA transcript, 848 nt
Organism: Selaginella moellendorffii
Lineage: Eukaryota; Viridiplantae; Streptophyta; Lycopodiopsida; Selaginellales; Selaginellaceae
Gene name: 50S ribosomal protein L11
Exons: 3
Source: RefSeq, a predicted model, not a curated record